UGGUAAAAUCUCUGUCUCUCA
Caenorhabditis elegans is the source of this 21-nucleotide non-coding RNA. Lineage: Eukaryota; Metazoa; Nematoda; Chromadorea; Rhabditida; Rhabditidae. The record is from Ensembl.